AACUAGGUUCCACCAUUUAUUCUUAAAAAGAAAAAAAGAGAAAAAUAAAAAAAUAAAGUAAAAAAAGGCCUUUAUGUGAAUUGUUUUAUUUGGACCAAACUCAAUUGACAAUGAUUUAAAAGGGAUUUUUUAAUCCUAAAGCAACGCAAUGAAUAAACAAAUAAAACAAGGAUUUUAGAGAACAACAGAAAUAGAGAAGAGGAAAAGGCACAAGUGAUAG
Molecule: long non-coding RNA, 220 nt
Filed under: Lathyrus oleraceus (garden pea)
Lineage: Eukaryota; Viridiplantae; Streptophyta; Magnoliopsida; Fabales; Fabaceae
Description: Pisum sativum (pea) long non-coding RNA (PSAT_LNC026697)
Source: RNAcentral